CCACAAUUUAACGGCCGCGGUACCCUAACCGUGCGAAGGUAGCAUAAUCACUUGUUUCCUAAAUAGAGACUAGUAUCAACGGCAUCACGAAGACUACACUGUCUCCCCCCUAAAAUCAAUGAAACUAAUCUCCUCGUGAAGAAGCGAGGAUGAACAUAUAAGACGAGAAGACCCCAUGGAGCUUUAAACAAACUUCAAUUGCUUUCCCCCCCCCCCCACCA
This 221-nucleotide ribosomal RNA is filed under the name Leptopelis rufus (red treefrog). RNAcentral describes it as "partial large subunit ribosomal RNA". It matches the Rfam family "Bacterial large subunit ribosomal RNA", at positions 1917 to 2139 of the family's 2925-position model. Lineage: Eukaryota; Metazoa; Chordata; Amphibia; Anura; Arthroleptidae. The record is from RNAcentral.